RNAcentral lists this transfer RNA (67 nucleotides) under Bathytoma punicea. Its description in RNAcentral is "tRNA-Glu". Lineage: Eukaryota; Metazoa; Mollusca; Gastropoda; Neogastropoda; Conidae. The record is from RNAcentral.
GUUUCUAUGGUGUAGAUCGGCACAUUAGAUUUUCAUUCUAAAGGUAUAAAGUAGUUUAUUAGAAAUA